GCCUGGCUGGCUCAGCCGGUAGAGCGUGCCGUCCGGGUCGUGAGUGCGAGCCCCAUGCUGGGGGCAGAGUUUACUUAAACUAAAAACAGAGGCGCCUGCGCGGCUCAGUCAGUUAACGUCCAACUGUUGGUUUCAGCUCAGGUCAUGCUCUUGGGGUCGUGGGAUCGAGUCCCACGUCGGGCU
This 183-nucleotide transfer RNA is filed under the name Ailuropoda melanoleuca (giant panda). RNAcentral describes it as "tRNA-Pro". The record is from RNAcentral. Lineage: Eukaryota; Metazoa; Chordata; Mammalia; Carnivora; Ursidae.